ACCUCGAAAUUCACGCUGGAACGAGUUUUUCCAGAGCUUAUCCUCGUUGAUUUUAAUUAACAACUUCCAUGUAAAAAAUUCUAAACAUUAUCUGCUUGAAACCCGCAGGCGGCGCGGAUUGCGCGGCGUAUCGACCUUUGGUGAGGCAAAAUAAUUGACGAAUGGUGGCUGCUGUUGGCUAU
This 182-nucleotide small RNA is filed under the name Pseudomonas protegens. Its description in RNAcentral is "Pseudomonas sRNA P1". The record is from RNAcentral. Lineage: Bacteria; Pseudomonadati; Pseudomonadota; Gammaproteobacteria; Pseudomonadales; Pseudomonadaceae.